This 468-nucleotide ribosomal RNA is filed under the name uncultured bacterium. RNAcentral's name for it is "partial 16S ribosomal RNA". It matches the Rfam family "Bacterial small subunit ribosomal RNA", at positions 28 to 507 of the family's 1533-position model. The record is from RNAcentral.
GACGAACGCUGGCGGCGUGCUUAACACAUGCAAGUCGAACGGAAAGGCCCUGCUUUUGUGGGGUGCUCGAGUGGCGAACGGGUGAGUAACACGUGAGUAACCUGCCCUUGACUUUGGGAUAACUUCAGGUAACUGGGGCUAAUACCGGAUAGGAGCUCCUGCUCCAUGGUGGGGGUUGGAAAGUUUCGGCGGUUGGGGAUGGACUCGCGGCUUAUCAGCUUGUUGGUGGGGUAGUGGUUUACCAAGGCUUUGACGGGUAGCCGGCCUGGGAGGGUGACCGGCCACAUUGGUACUGCGAUACGGACCAGACUCCUACGGGGGGCAGCAGUGGGGAAUAUUGCACAAUGGGCGCAAGCCUGAUGAAGCAACGCCGCGUGCGGGAUGACGGCCUUCGGGUUGUAAACCGCUUUCGCCUGUGACGAAGCGUGAGUGACGGUAAUGGGUAAAGAAGCACCGGCUAACUACGUG